This is a long non-coding RNA of Triticum dicoccoides, 2118 nucleotides long. RefSeq lists it as uncharacterized. NCBI's taxonomy places the organism in Eukaryota, Viridiplantae, Streptophyta, Magnoliopsida, Poales, Poaceae. The transcript is spliced from 3 exons. The record is from RefSeq and is a predicted model, not a curated record.
CGUGGAGCAUCCGCGCGUAUGUGUAUGCGUCAGCGGCCACCCUACACGCUGCAUCUUCAUGAAUACGCCUAUUAAAUCCAGACUUGCAGCAAGGCGUCGCCGCGGACUUUACUGAUCCAACGCUGCCGUGAUGGCCGCCACACUCCUCACGCGGACACCAUGGCCUGGACGCAGCAACGUGACACCACAUCACUACGCCUACACUAGAUUCAGCAAAGGAACUCCGGCCCAUCCAACUUUCAGUGCAGCCAUACAUCCUUCAGCCUUCUACACCACGCCGGCAAGCCGGAAAGUGCUACAACAGUGGCAGCGCUCUCCCAGGCACUUGGGCUGCCCACAACUCCUACAAAAUAAAUUGGCACAAGCUUACUCACAUAGAUUUGCAGAUCGGCGCGUGUUAAAAAUAUGUACAUGCAGAUGGAUCAUUCGCAGAUCAUCUUUAUCGGGAAGGACUACUUCUCAAGCGACUACUGCCUUUAUCAAGUAAAGGAUCUUUGUCAGCAGUACAUUCUUUGAACUUUAUUAGUUAUAUCAUCUCACUCUUCCUAUGUUGUAUUGUUUGUACAUAAUGAGUAUUGCUGCUCAAUGCAACCACUAGAAUGCAAUGAUUAGUAACUCUUCUUGCACUGUUGCAUCUAUAUGAUUGACCUUGUAUAUUCCGGGUUGACAUGCCAUUAUAUUUGACUGUACUGACAUUGAUGAUAUGCAUUUGAUGACAAUAGCAAAAUUAUAACCUAUUGGCAUGUAACAUUCUUUGAAAUGAUAUGACUAUGUUUUUUUUUCUUUUACAACUUGCUUACAGAUAUACUCCCCCUGUCCCUAAAUAUGUCUUUUUAGAGAUGUCAAUAUGAACUACAUACGGAUUUAUAUAGAUGUAUUUUAAAGUGUAGAUUCACUCAUUUUGCUCUGUAUAUAGUCCAUAUUGGAAUCUUUAAAAAGACUUGCAUUUAGGAACGGAGGAAGUACAUGUUUUCUGCUUAUGAUAAUUUGCCGGAGCAUUUAGGGGUAGUGAAUUAACCAGAAAACUGAACGUGCCCAAGUAAAAAAUAAUAUGAGAAGAAAAUUUAGUCUGAAUCAUCGUAGCCAUAAAUCUCACACUAUAGCUCUGCUGGAUAUAUUGCCGACACCCUCACCACUUCGCCCGCCCGCUGGAUAUAUUGCUACUCCUCUACGGAUGUCUUUCUUCUUUGUAGCUCUGUGUGCCAUGUCGGCGGCCAGGUUGACCGGUGGUGCCCAUGUCAUAUGGGUUGGGAUGUAUCGGUUUUAGCCCAGUUUUCCGUCAAUUAACCGUGCAAUUCUCUUCUUAAUCAAUGAAAAUGGCAAGUCUUUUGCCUUGUUUCAAAUGUUUUUUUACUCAGCCAUCAAAAAUGCCAAGCCUCAAAUCUGCAUUCAAAUUGCUAGGAAGCUUCUCCUAAUUUCUGACCACUCCUAAUUGGACUCAUACAACAAGUAUUAUAGUUCUUUCAUACAAGUUGAGUAUGAACAUACUGAUUUUGUACUAAUGGAGAUUGCCCUCAGCCAGUGAAAUAUCCAAUUUCUGGAUCACCUCAUUUCCCAAUUCUAAUCUAUCUAUAAUCUUUUUUGAGAUAUUAAGAUUGUAUCCAUGACAUGGGAAAUGUAAGUAGCAUGUUGUGACAUGCAUGGAUUUGCUUUUUCUAUCAAUGUUGAUGCUCCAACAUCUGAUCAAUGGUCCUUAUUUUAGAUUCUGUACUAUCAUUGUACAUAUUUGUUCCGUUAUAUAGUCAUUGUUGUUGUAAAUUGUUUAUCAUAAUACUGAUGAGGAAGAAUAAUCUAGAUGUAGUUCCGACAACGUCAAUGGAUCCUUCCCCGCUGCAUGGCUUGGCCGAAGUUGGGUGAAAGAGUUCAUGGGGCCAGAGAAAUAUGAGUUGGACGUCCGAACAAUGCUUUCAGGCGACAUUUGUUGUAGCCCCACAAGCUUAAAAUGAGAGUACAGUUGUGCCAAACAUUGUUACGUAUUUUGAUUUCUUUGUUGGUUCCUUUCAUGGCUAAAACAAUGGUAUGCCCCUUGCAACAUUUUUUUCGAUAUAUUUCUGUGCACUAUGCUAUUUCCGGAAAAAUCUUUAUAUACAUACUUGUGCUUUCACUUCAAAACUUGGA